RNAcentral lists this ribosomal RNA (486 nucleotides) under uncultured bacterium. RNAcentral's name for it is "partial 16S ribosomal RNA". It matches the Rfam family "Bacterial small subunit ribosomal RNA", at positions 30 to 507 of the family's 1533-position model. The record is from RNAcentral.
AUUGAACGCUGGCGGCAUGCCUUACACAUGCAAGUCGAACGGCAGCACGGGUGCUUGCACCUGGUGGCGAGUGGCGCACGGGUGAGUAAUACAUCGGAACAUGUCCUGUAGUGGGGGAUAGCCCGGCGAAAGCCGGAUUAAUACCGCAUACGAUCUACGGAUGACAGCGGGGGACCUUCGGGCCUCGCGCUAUAGGGUUGGCCGAUGGCUGAUUAGCUAGUUGGUGGGGUAAAGGCCUACCAAGGCGACGAUCAGUAGCUGGUCUGAGAGGACGACCAGCCACACUGGGACUGAGACACGGCCCAGACUCCUACGGGAGGCAGCAGUGGGGAAUUUUGGACAAUGGGCGAAAGCCUGAUCCAGCAAUGCCGCGUGUGUGAAGAAGGCCUUCGGGUUGUAAAGCACUUUUGUCCGGAAAGAAAUCCUUGGCCCUAAUACGGUCGGGGGAUGACGGUACCGGAAGAAUAAGCACCGGCUAACUACGUG